AUUCUGGCAGUAGCUUAAGGCCUGCAUUGGCAAAGCUCAAAAGGGGUUACCUUGGAGAAGAAUGCAGUAGGUGAGAGAUAAUGACAGUUUAGAGCAGGAUGAGAGAAGUGGAUGGAUUUGAGAGGCAUUCACAAGGCAAAAUCUGGAGAAGGAAUCAAGGACAGCUGCAAGGCUUUUGGCUGGUAUAGCUGGGUGCGCCUUUUAAAGAGAUGGGAGACAAGCAGGUUGAGAGUGAGGAGAAUACUUACAGGCGUCUCCUACAAGUCUGCUUAAGAGAAUGUUUCCUCCAGAGACAGCAGGACUGACAUAUGUCCCUGAAAGAAGUUUUCCAGCAGAAGCAGAGAAGAGAUCUCAUGGGAAAAUAAGCCAAGGAAAACAGGACCAUCUAAUAUGUAUCUUCUCUGCAGAUGAGUACCAGGGAAACACCGAUGAGAUGAUCGAGGACUCAUGCCAGCAUCCAGGAGCUCCAGAAUGCAAACUCUCCAAACUAAACUCACUCAAAAAUUGAAUAGAAAAAGGGAGACAAAGGUGCAGUGAAUUUUUAUUUGUACACUUCCAUGUCUGUGUGUAAGUGUAUAUGAGGCCAUGUACACUAUGCUAGAAAUUCUUGGAAGUUUCCAUUGAUUCUCCAUAUUUCCUACAAUCAAUUCAUAAUCCCAGAAAAUCCAAAAUUGGCCUUUAUUCCAAUUUUCAAGUAUAAACUACAUUUAUUCAGGUUCUUAGGUACACACAGGCAUCUACAAUUUUUAUUUUGUUUUGUUUUUAAAUAGGGUCUUGCUGUGUUGCUCACUGUGUUGUUCAAAUUUUGGGCUCAAGUGAUCUUCCUGUCCCAGGCUGGCCCAGUAGCUGGCCCAUAGGAGUGCAUUGCCACGCCUAGCAAGUAUAUUUAAAAAAAAAAAAACAGAGCUUACUUGGCUACUGUGUGAUAGGAUGACAUUUUGAAAGUUUUCAGCUUUGGUGAGAGAAUUGUGGAGUGAUGUAAAAGUUGAAUGGUCUUGCCUCAAAGUUAGGUAGAUAUCUUUCUGAUGUCCAGAUUCUUUUUGGGAAACUUCGGUUUUCUAGUGUCAUUUAAUUACUUUUCUUUCUCAAGAAGGGUUGAGUUAACUGAAUUUGCAGCUUAUCUGUUCAUUCAACCAUCCACCCACCUAUCUGUCCAUCCAUCCAUUCAUCCAUCCAUCCAUCCAUCCAUCAUGCACUUUUGUCAUCCUUAAAACAUCUACUAGAAGAGAACAAUUAAUGCUGGUCUGAAUAACUGAUGCUUGGGAAGUUGAUAGAUAUUUUUUCACAUGUAUGUAUUUUAACAGAAAUGCUAUAUAUGGAACACCUAUCACAGUGCCUUGCAUGUGAACACAUUGAGGCAAUCGUGGGCUCCAAUGGCAAAGAUUAUAACAGUCCAUGCAACCUACUGAGGCAUAGGAGUUAUAUAAAAUGCAGCCUCAUAAUUAUCUAGACACAUUUGAGAAGUUCUUUAUAAUUUGAAAAUUGCUUUGACUUUUAAAAAGAAAUUUGAUGAGCAAUUACUCUAUAAUAAUAGAUUUUUAAACUUAUUAUUUAAAAAAAUAAUGAGAGAACUGUUUGAACAAAUUGCUUUUAAGAAAAUCUAGCUUUCUUUCCAACCUCUGGCCACUUUUCCAGGAGAAAGGAGUAAAUUAAAACACAGAUUGUGGUAUUAAUGAGCUAUAAAAUAAUAUUUAUUAUUUGCAAAAGAGCCAUGGAAAUAAGCACUGGCCUGUGGGCCAGGAAAUUAAAAGAAAUCAGGAAGCAGAUCUAAUAAUAAUCAUAACUGUGUACUUGAUUUAAACAAAGUAUUUCUGUUCUCAUCCAGUCCCUAUCCCUAUUAGAGAAGAAUUGAUAAAUACUUUUUCCUUUGCUUUGUUUCCCUAUUAAAGAAUCAAUUUAAUUUUUUGAAGAUCA
This is a long non-coding RNA of Cavia porcellus (domestic guinea pig), 1914 nucleotides long. RefSeq lists it as uncharacterized. NCBI's taxonomy places the organism in Eukaryota, Metazoa, Chordata, Mammalia, Rodentia, Caviidae. The transcript is spliced from 5 exons. The record is from RefSeq and is a predicted model, not a curated record.